RNAcentral lists this long non-coding RNA (2624 nucleotides) under Homo sapiens (human). RNAcentral's name for it is "HSALNT0388153". The record is from RNAcentral. Lineage: Eukaryota; Metazoa; Chordata; Mammalia; Primates; Hominidae.
GAAGGAAGGGGAAACGCCUUCAUGUCAGCAAUGAGGGUGACUCUAGUGACGGAACUAGUCUUGGGUCCCUGGGGCACCACUAGCCUCUCGGCAUCGGUGGUUUCUCCUUACUCUUCAGACGCUGCCAACUCCAUCCCCCAGGGAUUGUGAAGGGGGUUCCUUCUGGCUGUGACAGUGCUGAACGAGGCCAGAGAGUGCAGCUGCCUGGAGGCACAAGCCUCCUCCUGAUCCAGGGGGCUCCAGGGAGACCAAAGCAGCUGUCAAGAUGAGAGAAAUUGAAAAAGAAAAUGGAAAACUCUCCAGCCUGGCUCUCAGCUUCUGCAUCUCCAUGCAAGACCAGAGACCCACAUCACUCCCUCACUCCACCCAGUUCCACUCCAACAAUACCUGGGCCCUGCCAGGAGUGAGAAAACGGUCCUCUUCCUGUGGAUAGGUUGCUCUCUCCUCUUCCAGAUCAGGGUAUUCAUUGGUGCUGGGGAAUCCACAGCCCUCUUCGCCAAGCACCACUGGCUCAGAUGCAGCCCCAGAGCUGCCCCACUGGGCCUUCUUCAGUCUGUGGAGACUUUAGGCUGAGGAGAGAAGUGCCUGGAGGCCAGGCUUCCUGUCUCUCCAUUCUUCACCUUUCUGUUCUGAAAUACUUCCUGCUGGGACUCCAGGGAGUUGUCAUUUGACCUUUAACCCUCCACUCCCAAUUUUCUGCUCCCCUCAGACUGAAGCAUAUUGUCUAGGAACCCAGAGGUGACCCCAACCUCCCCACUGUCCUCCAGUUCUAUGGUUUGCUUUCCUGUCUUCAGUGAUCUAGUUUCCACUCCUUCCAGCUCAUGUGGCUCAUCCUCCUUACUGCAGUUCCCUCCUUCUUUCCAUAUUACAGAAAUCUGUUUCAAUCACACCAAAGCCCACAGCUUCCUUCCAAGCAACCUCCCCUCAAAGCUCCCCUCAAACCUCCCCUCAAAGCUGUCAACCCCUUCCUUAGCUCAAACUGUUCUGCCCCCAAAUCCUGCAUGACUCCCAGAACCCAGAUGUCUCCCUUCCUUACUCGUUGAUGAUGCUCUGACGCCUUCUUAGGUCCUCCAGGUGGUAAGUGACAGCCCUCACCCGGGCGGGGACUCCCCCAAGGCCCUGCUGCUGCAUUCCUUCCAAACAUGGCCUCCUCUUCUUUCUUCUCCAAAGCAUUUCAGGGGGUGGGAGCUGCUCAGGAGGAUACAGACCAAGCUGGGAGCAACCAGUGGCUCUCUGUGCCAGAGAAUGGGGAAAAAGAGCUAGAAAGAAGAACUGGCUCUCUCAAGGGAGCUUGGAUUGAACUAGGUUCUUCCAGAAGACAUCUCCAUAACGCUGGGGCAUGGGUCUGAGGCUCUGGGAAGGCAACCUUGGGGGUGGAGAUCGGCUGACCACCCUGGAACACCUGAGGUGAGGACAAGGUGAUCUCACCCAGUACCAUGCUGUCAAUAAGCUGAUGACUCCCAAAUCUAUAUAUCCAGCCCUGGUUCCUCUCUGGGCUCCACUCAACAUCUCCUCCCCAACCUUCCUCCUCUCAAUGAAAAGCACUCAAAUGCCCAGUUGCUAAGACCAAAAACAUGGUAUGUCUCACUUUCCCUCACCUCCCACAUCUAAUCCAUCAGCAGUUCCUGUCAGUUUUACAUCUAAAAUACUGUGUACCUGAAUUUGACCACUCCUCAUCAUUCCCACUCCUACCACCAUAUAUUUCAGGUCAUCUUCCCCUUCCUGGACUGUUGCAAUGGUCUCUUCCCCCCGUCUCUGCUUCCAUUCCCAUCCCCCAACAAUAUAUUCUGCACAGAACUGUGAGAGAUGAUCAUACGAAAUAAUAUAAGGUUUGAGAUGUACUUCAAAAGAAUUUGAGAAAUAGGGGGCUAGAUGGGUAUAGAGAUGAAAAGAUUAUCCAUACAAUGAUAAUUAUUGAAGCUGACUGAAAAGGGUACAUGGGGUUCAUGAUACUAUUUUCUCUACUGUGUUUGUUUGAAAUUUUCCAUAAUAAAAAAAGUUGAAGGAAAAAAGGCUGGUCAUGUCACUCUCUGCCUUAAAACUUUUCCACUGAAUAAAAUCCAAACCGUUUUUUUUCUUCUUCUUUUUUGAGACAGUCUCACUCUGUCACCCAGGCUGGAGUGCAGUGACCCAAUUAUAGCUCACUGCAGCCUCAAAUUCCUGGGCUCAAGCAAUCCUCCUGCCUCAGCCUCCUGAGUGCUGGGACUACAGGCGUGUGCCACCAUGCCUGGCUAAUUCUUUUAAAUGUUUAUCAGAGAUGAGGUCUCACUAUGUUGCCCAGGUUGGUCUCCAAUUCCUGAGCUCAAGCAAUCCUCCCACCUUGGCCUCCCAAAGUGCUGUAAUUACAGGUGUGAGCCACCGCACCCGGCCUAUACUUGUUUUAUUUAUUUUUUCUUUCUUCUUCCUCUCCUCCCCUCUCCUCCCUUCCCCUCCCCUCCCCUCUUUUCCUUUUCUUUCUUCCAUUCUCUUUCUUUCUCUCCUUCUUUCCCUCCCUCCCUCCCUUCUUUCUUUUUAGAGACAGGGACUUGCUUUGUUGCCCAGGCUGGAGUGCAGUGCUGUAAUCAUAGCUCACUGCAGACUCAAACUCUUGGGCUCAAGCAAUCCUCCCACCUUGGCCUCCCAAA